UUUGAUAAUUAUUUCCUUUAGAACAACAUUUUUACAUUCCGAACAAAAUUGUUAAAUAUUGGUUUACCGAUGAUAUUAUUUUUAUUAAUAAAAAGUAGGUUUUUGUCAAAA
Molecule: ribosomal RNA, 111 nt
Filed under: Candidatus Nasuia deltocephalinicola str. NAS-ALF
Lineage: Bacteria; Pseudomonadati; Pseudomonadota; Betaproteobacteria
Source: RNAcentral